GACGUAGGGCGCGAGCGUUGUCCGGAUUUAUUGGGCGUAAAGAGCUCGUAGGCGGCUUGUCGCGUCGAAUGUGAAAUUUUAGGGCUCAACCCUGACAUUGCAUUCGAUACGGGCAGGCUUGAGUUCGGUAGGGGAGACUGGAAUUCCUGGUGUAGCGAUGAAAUGCGCAGAUAUCAGGAGGAACACCGGUGGCGAAGGCGGGUCUCUGGGCCGAUACUGACGCUGAGGCACGAAAGCGUGGGGAGCAAACAGG
Molecule: ribosomal RNA, 253 nt
Filed under: uncultured bacterium
Lineage: Bacteria
Description: partial 16S ribosomal RNA
Rfam family: Bacterial small subunit ribosomal RNA
Source: RNAcentral